Molecule: long non-coding RNA, 3780 nt
Organism: Amphiprion ocellaris (clown anemonefish)
Lineage: Eukaryota; Metazoa; Chordata; Actinopteri; Pomacentridae
Source: Ensembl
UUUUAUUUUCAUUUCAUUUGUUUUUUUUUUUUUUUUUUUUUGGUUUUUAUUUUGGCCAUAACCAAGGAUGUAAAUACGAGAAAAAAAGUAAGCAUACAACACUCAUUGUAAAAAGUUUUUAAAAAUUUAACCGCUCCAUCCCACUGUCACGUAAGUGGAACUAAAACAAAAAGGAAAAAAAACUGUAACAAUAAUAAUGAGCAAAGAAACGUGUAAUGCUUGUUACAUUUUCUACGUAUGCACCCUCUCACAUGUGCAUGCAGAUCCAUACUCAAAAAGUGCCCCGUGACAUUAAUCAUGAACCCUGUGCCUCCUCUUGUUUGCAAAGAGAUAGAUGCUUUAUUGGAGUUUAAAAGUGGGAGGUGGGAGAAUAGAACAUAAAGCAGGUUUAUUAUUUUGGCGUGAAUGCCAGCUAACCUGGCUGCUACACAUCGUUUAAGUCCUCAGAACGGACGGAAAAACCGUCCACGACCUCACAGGAGCUCCGCGGAAACCGGCCUCGAAAUGUCGGACGUUGUCUGGAAGACCAUCUAGUUUUGUCGCUUUUAGGAGCUACUUCUGCAGGUAAUUCUGGGAUUAAUACAGGAGGUCUUCGAAUCACGUUGGAGUUUCGUACCUAAGUCAAUUUUCACCGUAAAGGCCUCUACACACUGUGAUUUUAACAAUCUUGUAAGUCCACAGCUUGUUACGCUGUACGACAUGAAUCUAAUAAUCUUUGGGCACAAUGUGAAGUUUGCUUAGUGCAGAUUGCACGAUGAAAACGCAACUGAAUCGCAACCUACGAAGUACAUGAGUUGACGUGAAUACGCAAGAAUAAAACGUCAUAAGCGCGCACCGUCCAUCCAUGAAAACUAAACAACCGAAGCAGAAACAGAGCUCCUACAAUCACAGGGAAACUAGCCAAACAUGAACGGAGCCCUCGCCCUGCUAAUGUGUUUGGAGAGAAAUCCCAAAAAAACAAGGCUUCUGCUGCCACAACUCUGCUAGGUGGUCUUCUUUGUUUAAAUCCCACAUACUUGUUUCGAUGCAUUUUGCCAUUGUUGCCACAAAUCAUCUAUUUGGGUUAGAAUUUCAUGGCAGCUUGUCUUUGGUCGCAUGACCAUGACAACGGCCGUCCUUGAACCUGUCUCGCAGUGCAACGUACGACCACCGAUUUAGAGCCAAGACCAAAGCUAUCUCCACCAUUCUCUCACUAUUGUUAUCUUUGGUCUGGGACGGCUGGAAAUCACACAGUGUGUAGUGGUCUUAAGUUGGAACUCCGAUGAAAAUGUAAACAAAGCCGUUACGUGCAUCACGAUAUGAAUCAGUUUACAUAUUUGUACAACUACAGUAAUAACAGUAAUUAGCUCACACUGAAACACAACUCGGUAGGAAAAUGCUGGCGAAAAUGUAAGCAAAGCCGUUACCUGCAUCAACAUAAGACUCACCGGGAUACGCCGCUGCUGUUGGUCUUCCAGCCAAAGCAGUAAUUUUCUUUCCAUCUCAAAAAUGAGACCAUGAUGCAGAUCCUUUCACAUUUUAAAAUUCUCACUUUUUAUCACUGAUGAUUGUGGAGACAGUCAUGGGACUUAGUCCAAGCAACCAGCCGAUGUUUGUCUGUUUCGCCCUGUUCCAAGCAUUUUAUUACAUCCAGGUUCACCAGUUUCCAUGGAGAUGGCUUUCGUUUUCUUCAAAGCAUCAGUCUGACUUACGCUUGGGAGCCAUAAUGAAGUUAGCGAAAGUAGCAUAAUCCAGUGUGGCGGCAAAUAGAAACAAAGCCAUCUUACAGCGCCACAUGACGACAUAUUCAUCCGCUAUGCUCGCCAACUAGUUCCAUUGAACCACUUCCAAUGUUAUGAUGAAACGCCGUAAGUCGAGAAGGUCGUAAACCGAGAACGUUGUAAACCGAGGACCUCCUGUACUGCAUAUGCAUCUUCGAGAUUUAUUUAUAGUGCUUCGAUAUCUGGCAAGGUUGAUUCAAGCAAUGGUUCAAAUUCUGCUUUUACGGGAUCCAAUCUGAACCAAAAAACACCUGAAAUGAAGCGUAAAUAAAGUUUUAACAUGUUUCCAGAUGGCAAAAACGAGCUUUCAGAGUCCGGUUUCUCCACGGAGCUGCACAGAUCCUGGUUUUAUUCUCACUUGUUGACACAUUGGACAAGGGUGGAGAUUUGUCUGUAAUGUCUUUUUUUGUUUUUUUUUGUUUUUUUUUUUAUGGUUGUGUUUGGUCCCCCCCCUUAUGCCAAAUGUAGAGUUUUGUUUAAAGACGACAUGCAAGUAGCAAGAUGUCUAUGCAAUUUCCCUCCUUAAAAACAAAAAAACAAAUAAAAAUCCCUCCGAAAUGGUAAAAAAAAAAAAAAAAAAGACGGGGCUCGCUGUAGCAACAAGCGGCUCUGUUUCUCGCUGGUGAAAAAUCAAAUUCGGCCCGGCUUGAGUUUCCAGAGGUUCUUUGCAUGACCCAAAGACCCCUUGCUACUGUGUGUGGGAACCGGACUCUCCCAGAGGCGAGAUUCGCUGGACUUCUAGCCCGUGAAAACUGGGGCUCGAAGUCCGGCGAACCUCCACGGCGGAGUCCGGGUCCAUGAGAGGAAGUAGGAGGGCUUUUACUGGGGAUGUUGUGGAGAACAAGGAUUCUACAAGAUGUGCUGUUUUUUGUAAACUGCUCAGAAAAGUGGUGCGUGCGUUACACGUGUGUGUGUGUGUGUGUGUGUCGUUUGGACGUUGGUGGGCGUUUCCUUCGAUGCUCUCAUCGUUCGGUGGACGCAAAAAUCCAGACAAAGACCCUUAAAAUCCAGCCCCCGAAGCCUUUAUUCCUGCGACCAAGUUAAUGUAACAUUAGAUUUUAGAGCGGUUCGUGUUCGUGAGUUUAUUUCAACCCAUUCCCGGAAUGGGAAAAGAAGAAAGUAGGUAAUAACGAGCAUCUAGAACCUGCUGACCUUCAAACCUACAUAGAGCACUUAACUAGAAAGCACUUUGAACGGCCCAAACCCCAAAAAUCCUUGGCAGUAUUAAUUGUAAUGAGAUAAAAAUAUAUAUGUAUAUGUAAAUUGCACCCAUGCCAAAUGCCUUUUGCACCAUUUAAUGUCUUUUUAAAAUUAGUUUAACCCAAAAAUAAACAGAGCUCAGGCCUCUAGGCAAAGCCAUUUUAAUUCUAAAGUUUACAAUUAUUUUUUCAAUCAAGUGCAAUAAGUGAGGGAGUGAACCUUGUGGCGUAUUUGUCGUCUAAUCGGAUCUUUUUUUUUCCCUUACCGCCGACGAGAGCAUCGACAAAAAAGAAAUGAAAAUACCUCGGUCCAGACACACACACACACACACACACACACUCACACCAACAUGCACACACACAAACACAGACCACUUUUUGUGACUGGGUAAAGGAAGCUAUUGAAGGAUUCUCUCAGGUAAAAAGAACAUUUUCUAAUAAAUGAUGAUGAACCUUAGAUGAAAACCCAUUGUUAGCUCAUCUUUUUUUCAUCUUCUCAAUUUGCAAUCGCCCGAUGUACGUUUUGUUUUUUCAUUUUUUUCUGUUCUGUGUUUUUGGUCCAGGUUAAAAAGUGUAUGGAAAACCAGGUUCUUCAAAAAGAAAACAAAUUGGAAGCAGAAUAAUCAGGCUGCAUUCUUCUACCUCGAACUGAAAGCAAAUAUCUUCAUGUAUUGAGAUCUCAUCCAGUCGAGCAUCCUUACUGGAAAACAACUUUUAAUGGACUUAAACGAUCUUCUGUUGACAUCUUGGUGCCUGAAACCAAAGGAAACCUCAAGAAACCUUCAGAGAUGCUGUUUUGGAGGCGCCAUGGGAACCUCUAC